This 126-nucleotide microRNA precursor is filed under the name Podarcis lilfordi (Lilford's wall lizard). Lineage: Eukaryota; Metazoa; Chordata; Lepidosauria; Squamata; Lacertidae. The record is from RNAcentral.
UGUCCAGUAGCACCUUAAAGACCAACUAAGUUUGUUCUGAGUAUAAGCUUUUGUGUGCAUGCACACUUCUUCACGAAAGCUUAUACCCAGAACUAACUUAGUUGGUCCCUAAGGUGCUACUGGACA